This 500-nucleotide ribosomal RNA is filed under the name uncultured Pseudomonas sp. Its description in RNAcentral is "bacterial SSU rRNA". It matches the Rfam family "Bacterial small subunit ribosomal RNA", at positions 903 to 1382 of the family's 1533-position model. Lineage: Bacteria; Pseudomonadati; Pseudomonadota; Gammaproteobacteria; Pseudomonadales; Pseudomonadaceae. The record is from RNAcentral.
GCCAGCCCGCUCAGAAACUUAAAGGAAUUGGACGGGGGCCCGCACAAGCGGAGGAGCAUGUGGUUUAAUUCGAUGAUACGCGAGGAACCUUACCUGGGCUCGAACGUAAGAUGACUGUAGGUGAAAGCUUACAUCUCUUCGGAGCAUUUUACGAGGUGCUGCAUGGUUGUCGUCAGCUCGUGCCGUGAGAUGUUGGGUUAAGUCCCGUAACGAGCGCAACCCUUGUCCUUAGUUACCAGCACGUUAUGGUGGGCACUCUAAGGAGACUGCCGGUGACAAACCGGAGGAAGGUGGGGAUGACGUCAAGUCAUCAUGGCCCUUACGGCCUGGGCUACACACGUGCUACAAUGGUCGGUACAAAGGGUUGCCAAGCCGCGAGGUGGAGCUAAUCCCAUAAAACCGAUCGUAGUCCGGAUCGCAGUCUGCAACUCGACUGCGUGAAGUCGGAAUCGCUAGUAAUCGUGAAUCAGAAUGUCACGGUGAAUACGUUCCCGGGCCUU